AACUUCCUUCUGUCAUGAGGAAGUUGCUGUGCAGAGCUGUUGAUUUAUAGAUAGCAAUGUGCAGAGAACAUAACUAGCCAAAGAACAAAACCAUGCUUCUUUAUAUCUGGCCAGUUCUGUUGUAAGUGGGUGUGCUCUCAUGAGGUUAAAACUCUCACAUACUCAUUCUGAAGCUCAUUCAGCACAACAGCAGCACAGAUCUCAGAUCUGUGUGGAUGUUUACUCCCUUCAGAUCAUCACAAGAUUCAGAGGGAGUGGAGAAAGAAAAUCACAUCCAGAAAACUGCUGGAGCCUCAGAAAUCACAGAGCAGCAGAAAACAAGAAGACAGAGAGAAAAAUGGAGACACAAACCAGUGAAUCCCAAGAGAGAAGAGAAGUGAGAGCUGUUAAAUGCGUCAGUAUGGAGGGAAUAAUGCCAAACUUCUCAGAUGAUCCAGAUGAUCCUGUAAAGAUUGAUUCUGAUGUCAAAACUGAGGAGAGAUUCUCUCAUCAAAACCCUCCAUGUUCUCAAGAACACACAACAUCACUGAUGAAGACCUGAACAUCAUCAUCAUCAUCAAUCUGUUCAGCUCUUGGAUUGUUUCAGCUUCAUCUGAUCACAAAAAAACAGACUAAUGAACUGAUCUGAGUUUGAGUCCAGCUCUACAGAGCCACACAAUAUUCCAGUGUGAAUCUGUGGUGAAAAUUGAAACUGCAGCGCUCUAAUUGAGCCAUUGGGGCAGAUUUGAAACUGCCUGCUUAUUUUCACUUUACCUUACAUCAGGGGUGCCCAACCCUGUUCCUGGAGAUCUAACUUCCUGCAAAGUUCAGCUCCAACCCUGAUCAAACACACCUGAAUCAGCUAAUCAAGAUCUUCAGAAGCACUUGAUAAUUACAGACAGGUGAGUUUGAUCAGGGUUGGAUCUGAUCUCUGCAGGAAGGUAGAUCUCCAGGCCUUACAUAAACCUCGCUCCAGAUAAGAUGAUAUCAAUCUGCUUCAGCUGUGUGUAUAUUAGGCUACGUUCAGACUGUCGGUCCAAAUCUGGUUUUUGUCCACGUGAUUGAAAUCUGAUUGGAUUUAGCAAGUGUGAACGGUCAAAAAUCUGUUCUGAGCUACAUUCAUAUGUGAUUUGAAAUCCUCUUCAAAACUCAUUUCUGGAAAUCUCUUUCAGUCUGACCGCUCUGAUUGGAUUUUGUGUGGUUUAUGUGACUUUCUCACACCACAUAAUGUAAACAUCAGAUGUUGUUAUAGAAAACAUGCUGAAAGUUGAAAGUCGAACGUGUGAACAUAGCCUUAGUCUGCAUCAGGUCAGUCCUGAUGCAUGACUUUCUUUUCCUCACCUGAAUUCCUCCACAACGUGUAACAUUCUGAAUCAACACAUUAUCAUCUCUAUACCGUAAUGAAAUCAUUAAUGUUAUAAUUCUCCAGUUUCUGUCAUUUCACACAGAAGAUCUCUGUUUCUCUUUCUGACAGAAUCAUUUCUGUUCUUACCAGAGACUGUGUUUCUGAUUCAUCUGUCAGCAGAUCAUGAUGAUGAUGUUUCAUAUCAAGCUCAUCUCCAUCAUCUCCUAAUGGAAGAAUAUAUUCAUAAACUCAUAUCAGUCAUAAAUGCAUUACAAUGAGUCUCUUUAUAAUACAUUUUCCUCAUUUAAAAGCUGAAAAUGUUGGAAAAUUUCAAUCCAAGAUGAAAAUAAAUUCAUAUUCACACA
Molecule: long non-coding RNA, 1689 nt
Organism: Ctenopharyngodon idella (grass carp)
Lineage: Eukaryota; Metazoa; Chordata; Actinopteri; Cypriniformes; Xenocyprididae
Exons: 3
Source: RefSeq, a predicted model, not a curated record